RNAcentral lists this ribosomal RNA (252 nucleotides) under uncultured bacterium. RNAcentral's name for it is "partial 16S ribosomal RNA". It matches the Rfam family "Bacterial small subunit ribosomal RNA", at positions 524 to 776 of the family's 1533-position model. The record is from RNAcentral.
UACGUAGGGUGCAAGCGUUGUCCGGAAUAUUGGGCGUAAAGAGCUCGUAGGCGGUCUGUCACGUCGGCUGUGAAAUCCCGAGGCUCAACCUCGGGUCUGCAGUCGAUACGGGCAAACUAGAGUAUUGCAGGGGAGACUGGAAUUCCUGGUGUAGCGGUGAAAUGCGCAGAUAUCAGGAGGAACACCGGUGGCGAAGGCGGGUCUCUGGGCAAUAACUGACGCUGAGGAGCGGAAGCGUGGGGAGCGAACAGG